GAUGAACGCUGGCGGCGUGCCUAAUACAUGCCAGUCGAGCGAACAGACGAGGAGCUUGCUCCUCUGACGUUAGCGGCGGACGGGUGAGUAACACGUGGAUAACCUACCUAUAAGACUGGGAUAACUUCGGGAAACCGGAGCUAAUACCGGAUAAUAUAUUGAACCGCAUGGUUCAAUAGUGAAAGACGGUUUUGCUGUCACUUAUAGAUGGAUCCGCGCCGCAUUAGCUAGUUGGUAAGGUAACGGCUUACCAAGGCAACGAUGCGUAGCCGACCUGAGAGGGGGAUCAGCCACACUGGAACUGAGACACGGUCCAGACUCCUACGGGAGGCAGCAGUAGGGAAUCUUCCGCAAUGGGCGAAAGCCUGACGGAGCAACGCCGCGUGAGUGAUGAAGGUCUUCGGAUCGUAAAACUCUGUUAUUAGGGAAGAACAAAUGUGUAAGUAACUAUGCACGUCUUGACGGUACCUAAUCAGAAAGCCACGGCUAACUACGUG
RNAcentral lists this ribosomal RNA (497 nucleotides) under uncultured bacterium. RNAcentral's name for it is "partial 16S ribosomal RNA". It matches the Rfam family "Bacterial small subunit ribosomal RNA", at positions 28 to 507 of the family's 1533-position model. The record is from RNAcentral.